Long non-coding RNA from Pteropus alecto (black flying fox), 1040 nucleotides. RefSeq lists it as uncharacterized. The record is from RefSeq and is a predicted model, not a curated record. NCBI's taxonomy places the organism in Eukaryota, Metazoa, Chordata, Mammalia, Chiroptera, Pteropodidae. The transcript has 2 exons.
UUGGGUGGAGUCCGAACUUCCCUUGUGCUUUCUGCUCUGCUGAGGCUGCGGAAACCUUGGACUAUCGCGAGAUUUGGUCUCUGGGCUGAAAAGGGAAACCUCUAAAUAAACUUUAAAAACAGAACAGUAAUUUAAAAAAUGUCUUUCCUCGGUACUUCCCAGACUACUUUUCAGUUUUUCUUAAUUUGUAACCUAACCUUUUAGAUCACUAUCCAGAGUUCUUAAUCGAGCGUCUCCAGAGGCUAAUCUCUGAGAAAGGUUGUGGUCAGAAAAUCUGCAAACUGGUAUAAUUUAUAAAGGCACUUACACUUCCUUCUAUAGCCCAGCCCCUUCUUAAGUCUGGGCCUAGAGACAGGUUUCUUUAGGAUUGCCUUCCCUCCUAAGGGCUUUGGAAACAAACUGCAGGUCUUCAUCCUGAAGGUACUCAUGUCUUCUAUAAUGGAUACAUUUUAUAUGCUUCUUCAUUGGACUUAUUUACUUUCUGGACCCAACAUCCCUUGGUCUGCCUAGGGCUCACCUGCAUUCCUGGAAUCUCUGGCCCUUCCUGCCACUUUUGGACUCCUGUGAAACACUGCAGACUCUGACUUUCCAAUGGCUUCUAGGAGGGCUUAGAUGAUGCAUCCUGGGAGUAUGGGGUGUCACUCCCCACAGAGCAAACUUUGGCCAGUUGAAAACAGUGGAUCGAGUGAGCAUGACAGAGAAAUUCUCUUUCCUUCAUGAUUUCUCCAAACAGUGUAUCUGGAGAAGGACCAGACUGAGUGAAUAUAAUGUAUCUGCCAAGCAACCUGCCAUGUCUCUCACGGCUCAUUUUGAAGAGGGGCUAGCAAGGUAAUGUACCACCUAGUAUUACUUCUUAGCCUUUUCUACCUAACAUCUUUCUAGAAUUUUACCUCGAUCUGGCUGUCCCGAAUUUGUAACUCCCAAAUAAAGCAUCAGCACUUAACCUUUUCCUGAUGAACAGUGCCUACAUUUUUUAAUGUUUCUGUUAUUUACAGCACCUAGCACAUGGCAUUUGGUGUUUAAUAAAUAUCAUAAAUAUA